This is a long non-coding RNA of Venturia canescens, 1002 nucleotides long. RefSeq lists it as uncharacterized. NCBI's taxonomy places the organism in Eukaryota, Metazoa, Arthropoda, Insecta, Hymenoptera, Ichneumonidae. The transcript is spliced from 2 exons. The record is from RefSeq and is a predicted model, not a curated record.
CUUUGUUAUUUUUGGGUUUUGAAUUGAAAAGCCAAGAAUUUUUGACGUUUUUUUCCCCUUUAACCCUUAGUAGUCACACUGGGUCUCUGAGACCCAUGCCUUUUUUUGACCUGGAAUACGGGUCUCUAAAUUCGGGAAAUUGGGGUUUGUGGCUCCAUCUACCAUGCAUUUGGUUCUUCGACUACAAUAUUGAGCAGGUAGAUUUUCAGUCGAGAGGUUAGUCUCAACGUGGCAGCUGUUGAAAGCGGAUGGUGUAAAAUUCGUGGGUCCGUAAGACCCAGUGUGACUAGAGUGUUGAACAUUUUUUUUUUGGAGCAAUUUUCUUUUCGAGUUUUUUGUGGUGGUAUUUAUUGAGCCGGCAUGGCGUAUUUCUUACGGUCUCGGACAAUUCGUGACGAAUUAAUUGAGGAGGUCGAAGAGCAGCAACCUUUAGGCGAUCCUGCCAGUGACGACGACCAUUUGUCGGAGCAGUCCGAGUUUUCAACCUAUGAUGAAGAAAGUGACGAGGACAUCGAGACGGAGAACGCCGUACUGAGCGCAAGACUCGCAAGUGCAAAAAUAAUUUAUUAGGCAAGAACGGACCAGUGACGGCAGUCAUGUGCCUGGAGGCUCUUAUCCACCACCUCGUGCGACCGCACUUGGAGGAGCGCCUCACGAACAUCACCAUCCGACACGACUUGAAAAUUGGAAUUCGCAAUAUUUUGGGGAUCACAGGCGACUUCCGUAAUAUCAACAACCGUGGCCGACUCGAUAAAAAAAAAAGAUGCAAACUGUGUGGGCCCAAAGUCGAUCGAAAGACACUACAAGUAUGUCCGAGCUGCGACCGCCCCAUGUGCGACGACCACCGAGCGUAUCUGUGCACGCAAUGUGCCACUGGAAUCGAAUAAUUCCUUUCUUUUUUUACAACAAUCUACCAUUAAUGUACAAGCCCCAUUUUUAUUCAUUCUGUAGCCGUAAAUAUUUUUUUUCACAAUAAAAAAUCAAUUUUUCUAUGUGCGCAAA